This 425-nucleotide ribosomal RNA is filed under the name uncultured bacterium. RNAcentral's name for it is "partial 16S ribosomal RNA". It matches the Rfam family "Bacterial small subunit ribosomal RNA", at positions 354 to 796 of the family's 1533-position model. The record is from RNAcentral.
GUCGGGAAUUUUGGGCAAUGGGCGAAAGCCUGACCCAGCAACGCCGCGUGAAGGAUGAAGUAUUUCGGUAUGUAAACUUCGUAAGAAUAGGAAGAAUAAAUGACGGUACUAUUUGUAAGGUCCGGCUAACUACGUGCCAGCAGCCGCGGUAAUACGUAGGGACCAAGCGUUGUUCGGAUUUACUGGGCGUAAAGGGCGCGUAGGCGGCGUGGUAAGUCAGCUGUGAAAUCUCCGAGCUUAACUCGGAACGGUCAGCUGAUACUGCUGUGCUAGAGUACAGAAAGGGCAAUCGGAAUUCUUGGUGUAGCGGUGAAAUGCGUAGAUAUCAAGAGGAACACCUGAGGCGAAGGCGGGUUGCUAGGCUGAUACUGACGCUGAGGCGCGAAAGCUAGGGUAGCAAACGGGAUUAGAUAUCCCUGUAGUCC